RNAcentral lists this transfer RNA (74 nucleotides) under Sus scrofa (pig). It matches the Rfam family "tRNA". Rfam says of the family: Transfer RNA (tRNA) molecules are approximately 80 nucleotides in length. Their secondary structure includes four short double-helical elements and three loops (D, anti-codon, and T loops). Lineage: Eukaryota; Metazoa; Chordata; Mammalia; Artiodactyla; Suidae. The record is from Rfam by way of RNAcentral.
AACAGUGUAGCAUAGUGGUUAAAGCACCGAUUUUGAUGUCAGGGUAGCCCUGAGUUCAAAUCCCAGCUCUUUUA